Long non-coding RNA from Lathyrus oleraceus (garden pea), 638 nucleotides. RefSeq lists it as uncharacterized. Lineage: Eukaryota; Viridiplantae; Streptophyta; Magnoliopsida; Fabales; Fabaceae. The record is from RefSeq and is a predicted model, not a curated record. The transcript has 5 exons.
AAAACUGGUUGAAGCCUUCUGACAAUGAUCUAAAUGUCCUUAAUAUGACUGAAGAAUAUGAGAUUAGUGAAUCAAUUGUUUCAGAGUUUCAAGUAGCUACUGGUGGAGCAGCUGCUCCUACACAGGCUGGGCCUGUUUAAUUCUCGCCUAGCUGUGAAUUUUUGAAUAUUUUGGAGUCACUUUGUGAUUCAAUAAGACAAGCCUUUCUUUUUGGAGUCAUUUUUUGAAACUAAGGAUGGAACCGUUUCAGUAGCUACUGCGUUUGCUGGUCAUCAGGAAGGUAAUGCCUCUGCAUAAUGUUCAUGGAUCAUUUGUUAUGUUUAUUUAUUUCAGAUUGUUGUUAUUUAUGAGAAUCAUGUUUAUUUAUUUCAGAUUGUUGUUAUUUCAUAUUGCUGUUGUUAUGAGAAUCAUGACUCAGAAACUUUUUGGGCAGCCACUGCUGCUAGUUUCAUAACAAUUCAGUGUUCGAAAUGUUACAUUUUUUUGACUUGGGGAUUAACAAAUCUAUAUUCAUUAAGCCCAAGACAUUUCACCUUACAGUACUAAUGCUUAAGCUGUGGAAUAAAGACAGAGUGGGGCAUAUCAAGAGGAGACUGAAUAGCUCAACCUUCUUGCUGAAUGGAAGAGAAAGAAAGGUG